RNAcentral lists this unclassified non-coding RNA (326 nucleotides) under soil metagenome. RNAcentral's name for it is "partial contains 5.8S ribosomal RNA, internal transcribed spacer 2, and large subunit ribosomal RNA". The stretch from base 1 to 120 matches the Rfam family "5.8S ribosomal RNA", at positions 35 to 154 of the family's 154-position model. The record is from RNAcentral.
GAUGAAGAACGCAGCGAAAUGCGAUAAGUAGUGUGAAUUGCAGAAUUCAGUGAAUCAUCGAAUCUUUGAACGCACAUUGCGCCCUUUGGUAUUCCUUAGGGCAUGCCUGUUCGAGCGUCAUAUUAACCACUCCCGCUUGCGGGGUCUUGGGCUUCGCCUCCGGGCGGGCCUUAAAAUCAGUGGCGGUGCCGUCGGGCUCUACGCGUAGUAAAUUUUCUCGCGAUAGGGUCCCGGUGGAUGCUUGCCAACAACCCCCAACUUCUUAAGGUUGACCUCGGAUCAGGUAGGGAUACCCGCUGAACUUAAGCAUAUCAAUAAGCGGAGGA